Ahaetulla prasina is the source of this 740-nucleotide long non-coding RNA. RefSeq lists it as uncharacterized. Lineage: Eukaryota; Metazoa; Chordata; Lepidosauria; Squamata; Colubridae. The transcript is spliced from 3 exons. The record is from RefSeq and is a predicted model, not a curated record.
CGACUAAGUCAGUUGUGCGUCAAAAGUAUUGGGCGACUUAAAGGAAGAAAUGCACCACGUCCACAGUUCCGAUUGCAAGAUGAAGCGCAAGCCAACAACUUUGCAAGCUUCCGAGAGAGAGGGUGAGGGGGAGAAAGAAUCUUGCAGAUUCAUCCUACCGAAAGAGAGAAGCCCGAGCGGGGAUGGUGCUCAUCACCGUUUCAAAGCCGAAGAGCCAGCGCUGUCCGAAGAGGUCUCUGUGGUCAUGUAGCCGGCAUGACUCAACGCCAAAGGCGCACGGAACGCUGUUACCUUCCCACCAAAGAUAUUUGCAAACUGGGUGUGCUACCAACCUGCUUUCCAUUGAGGACCUGUAUACUGCAUGAGUCAAAAAGAGGGCUGUGAAAAUAUUUACAGACCCCUCACAUCCUGGACAUAAACUGUUUCAACUCCUACCCUCAAAACGACGCUACAGAGCACUGCGCACCAGAACAACUAGACACAAGAACAGUUUCUUCCCAAACGCCAUCAUUGCUAAACAAAUAAUUUCCUCAACACUAUGAAACUAUUUACUAAAUCUGCACUACUAUUAAUCUUCUCAUCAUUUCCAUCAUCCAUCUCCUUCCACUUAUGACUGUAUGACUGUAACUUUGUUGCUUGUAUCCUUACGAUUUAUAUUGAUAUUGUUUCCUGAUUGCUUAUUUGUACCCUAUGACUAUCAUUAAGUGUUGUACCUUAUGAUUCUUGAUGAACGUAUCUUU